GAGGCGGGCGCGCAGUUUUGGAAUCGGCGGUCGGGACGAGCAGGGGAGGAGGGGUGAGGGAGGUAGGAGAGGGUACAGCGGCGGGGAGAAGAGGAGCGAGCGGAGCCGGCGGAGGAGAGGAGGCGGCACAGCAGCUGGGGGAGGGAGGAGGAUGGAGGAGGAGGGAGGAGAGUCAGGGCACGGUCAGCGGCGGGUUUGGGAUCGGAGGCAAAGGGAGCUAGGGGCGUCAUUGGCGUAGGUGUCGGUGGGCGAGGAAGAGUAUCGGCGGCGUGGUAAGGAGGGAAGGCGGGGGAGGAGGAAGGGCCUAGGGGUGGUGCCGCGGCUGGACGUCCGUUUCCCGCUGCUUCUCACCAUCUGCUCCUGUUGCUCCCUCUCUUUCUUCCCUCUAUUUUUCCUCCGGCCGCCGCUCCGGGUCGCUGAUCGCGGAGAGGCGGAGUUCGGGGCCGUAGUGGCGGUGGUCUAGGUGGAGCGUUGGAGAGAAGGAGGGGACAGACUGACGACGCACCAGCGCAAUCCGGGUACGGCCGCGGCGGCGGUGUCGGCGUCGGCGGCGGCGACCUACCGAGGCAGCCAGGGAGGGCGAGGUCUAGCUUUUGAUCCUCUCGCUGCCCUCCCUUCUUCCCCUGGCCCCCUCCCCUCUCGUGUCCUCUCUUCCGCUCGAGCGCCGACUGGCGUCGCACGCUCCGCCUGCCCACUCUUUGUAAACAGCAGCACGGCGACCGCCGACCUCGAAACCUUACGCCGGCACCGGUGAUAAUUAUUAAACAGAAACGUAAAAGACUACUCAAGCAGCUCAAGGAAAGAGAUAUACGAAUCUACGAAUAGACAGCCUUUAAAACACACUGUUGUCUUCAUUGCCACGAACCAGAUGAUAAGAAAAAACGACAGAUUUCACAAGGAAGUUGAUUAGGUCAUUGGACUGUAAUGAAACACAAAUUGAUUAUAGUAAGAAUAGUGUCACUCAUGUCUAUAAUAAGUCAAUCGGAGGAAAAGCACCUUCUCCUCACUUUCACAUUUCCACGUACGAACCUUCAAAUUUAUACAUUAGUUCAAUACUUUAUCUCACGACAUUCUCUGUGAAGAUAUUCGUCUCUAACCAUACUACGAAGCUCCGUACCCCAAACUGUUAUGUUGGAAGGAGAUGCAACGGAGGCCAUUUUAUAUGUUACGACGUUUUAUGUACCCAGGGGAAGCGGUCUACAAGGGAGAAAAUGUUUGGUUCCUGUGAGAACGUAACAGAUUUCUCGAACGACUCAAACUCCCCAUGAGAAGAGCCAAUCGUCGUAAUCUAAUGUGGCAGACACAAGUCUCGCUUCACAAACACUGCUGAGUUCCCCCUUGAAGGGAGUGAAAAACUACCCUGUGUCCGCAAUGGACAAUCCUCCCUUACGUUUCUGUUAUUUUGGGCUGUUUGCCUUCGACCAGAAUAGAAAACUACUGGGUUUAUAGUCUACCUCAGCUAAGUUCGUGGUGUACGACCUUUAUGACGUGGUAUCACUGUAUUCCCCGUAGCGUAAGUCCUUUGGAUUACUAAGGUAUAUGUGGAAGGGUUACGGACUAACGUACACGGUUGUUCUACCUUAUACUAGAUCCGCAAUCGUACGUAUUGACUCCCUACGUAUAGGAGACGGAAACACGUGGUUUCCGUGGUUUCCGUACCGUAACAACUGACGUACUAGUCCUAAACUACCAGUACUACUUUUGACCUCACUUUAUUUCGUAAACCACGAAGAGUCCUCUAAGACUUUGGGAGACCGUAUGGGGGUUGGCAAGCUAAGACCUAUAUUACCAGUUUUCCACGGUUUACUGUUACUUAAGGUAUCAUAGUCUUUAACUCUCCUACACUCCCUAAAACAUUUCAAUCAUUAGACAUCCAUCAGGUGGUAUAUCGUUAGAGGUAAACAAGUUAGGCAGACAUCCAACAUUUCUCUUUUCUCGAUGCUCUAACCCAACAUCUAUACUCAUGUUGGACUCACGGAGCUACAUAUAAGCUUUUUGUUCCCGAUUGUUGUUGUUUCUUGCCUUUAAAAGUCAUAUAGUAAUGAGUAGUCACGAACAAGAGCGUAAAGUAGAACGGGAACUGUUAAGUAUAAAUACUCGUACAAGAAUGUCAAGUCUGGAUUGCAAGAAAAAAGAAAGGAACCCGUGAAGGAGUUCUUAGAACAACUCCACAGACAAAGGGGAGAAACACAGGGAAGAUCUACAUAAUUAGAGUUAGAGUACAAACCAAAAGA
Molecule: ribosomal RNA, 2234 nt
Filed under: Triticum aestivum (bread wheat)
Lineage: Eukaryota; Viridiplantae; Streptophyta; Magnoliopsida; Poales; Poaceae
Description: partial small subunit ribosomal RNA
Source: RNAcentral